GGUAAGUCAACAAUUCAAAUCUGAGGAGUUCUAUACCUGUGGUAGAGGAGCAGUGCAACCAACUCAUUUGUAUCUGGAAUGGGUGAGAAUAUCACUGAAAAAUAUCUCACCUCCUUGGGCUCCCUCAGGAAAUCCCUGAACUAGGCAGUCUGGGCCAUAUGCUCACUGACCUGAGAAUACUCAAAAGGACAAGACUCAUUCACCUUGG
Anas platyrhynchos (mallard) is the source of this 208-nucleotide long non-coding RNA. RefSeq lists it as uncharacterized. The record is from RefSeq and is a predicted model, not a curated record. NCBI's taxonomy places the organism in Eukaryota, Metazoa, Chordata, Aves, Anseriformes, Anatidae.